AUACGGAGGGUCCAAGCGUUAUCCGGAAUCAUUGGGUUUAAAGGGUGCGCAGGCGGUUUAUUAAGUCAGUGGUGAAAUCUCGGGGCUCAACCUCGAAACUGCCAUUGAUACUGAUAAACUUGAGUUCAGUUGGAGUAGGCGGAAUGUGUAGUGUAGCGGUGAAAUGCUUAGAUAUUACACAGAACACCGAUAGCGAAGGCAGCUUACUAAACUGAUACUGACGCUGAGGCACGAAAGCGUGGGGAGCGAACGGGAUUAGAAACCCCUGUAGUCC
RNAcentral lists this ribosomal RNA (274 nucleotides) under uncultured bacterium. Its description in RNAcentral is "partial 16S ribosomal RNA". It matches the Rfam family "Bacterial small subunit ribosomal RNA", at positions 523 to 796 of the family's 1533-position model. The record is from RNAcentral.